RNAcentral lists this non-coding RNA (29 nucleotides) under Rattus norvegicus (Norway rat). The record is from RNAcentral. Lineage: Eukaryota; Metazoa; Chordata; Mammalia; Rodentia; Muridae.
UUGGUACAAGGGAUAACCCAUGGACUUGC